GCCUUUGUGGUGUAACGGUAACACGUUCGGCUUGUAUUCGAUAGGCCAAGGUUCGAAUCCCGGUUAGGACA
RNAcentral lists this transfer RNA (71 nucleotides) under Stegodyphus mimosarum. It matches the Rfam family "tRNA". From Rfam's summary of the family: Transfer RNA (tRNA) molecules are approximately 80 nucleotides in length. Their secondary structure includes four short double-helical elements and three loops (D, anti-codon, and T loops). Further hydrogen bonds mediate the characteristic L-shaped molecular structure. tRNAs have two regions of fundamental functional importance: the anti-codon, which is responsible for specific mRNA codon recognition, and the 3' end, to which the tRNAs corresponding amino acid is attached (by aminoacyl-tRNA synthetases). tRNAs cope with the degeneracy of the genetic code in two manners: having more than one tRNA (with a specific anti-codon) for a particular amino acid; and 'wobble' base-pairing, i.e. permitting non-standard base-pairing at the 3rd anti-codon position. The record is from Rfam by way of RNAcentral. Lineage: Eukaryota; Metazoa; Arthropoda; Arachnida; Araneae; Eresidae.